AAAAACAUGUCCUUUUGUUAUUAUUUAUAUAAGGUUUAACCUGCCCAAUGAUUUUUUUUGAAUGGCCGCAGUAUUUUAACUGUGCUAAGGUAGCAUAAUCAUUUGUCUUUUAAUUAAAGGCUUGAAUGAAUGGUUGGACGAGACAUAUGCUUUCUUUGGUUUAAUUUUUGAAUUUAAUUUUUAAGUUAAAAAGCUUAAAUUUUUUUAUGGGACGAGAAGACCCUAUAGAUCUUUAUAAUUUUAAUUUUUUAAUAUUUUAGUGUUAUAAUAUUAUUGAAUAGUUAAGUUUAUUUGGUUGGGGUGAUUUUAGAAUUAAUUAAACUUCUAUUUGUUUUUUUCAUUUAUUUAUGUUUAUUUGAUCCAUUAUUAUUGAUUACAAGAUUAAGUUACCUUAGGGAUAACAGCGUAAUUUUUUCGGAGAGUUCAUAUCGAUGAAGGAGUUUGCGACCUCGAUGUUGGAUUAAAAUAAGUUUUUGAUGCAGUAGUC
Molecule: ribosomal RNA, 487 nt
Filed under: Heniartes flavicans
Lineage: Eukaryota; Metazoa; Arthropoda; Insecta; Hemiptera; Reduviidae
Description: partial 16S ribosomal RNA
Rfam family: Bacterial large subunit ribosomal RNA
Source: RNAcentral